Molecule: ribosomal RNA, 468 nt
Filed under: uncultured bacterium
Lineage: Bacteria
Description: partial 16S ribosomal RNA
Rfam family: Bacterial small subunit ribosomal RNA
Source: RNAcentral
CUCCAGACUCCUACGGGAGGCAGCAGUGAGGAAUAUUGGUCAAUGGGCGCAAGCCUGAACCAGCCAAGUCGCGUGAGGGAAGACGGUCCUAUGGAUUGUAAACCUCUUUUGUCGGGGAGCAAAGCGCGGUACGAGUACCGCGAAGGAGAGUACCCGAAGAAAAAGCAUCGGCUAACUCCGUGCCAGCAGCCGCGGUAAUACGGAGGAUGCGAGCGUUAUCUGGAUUUAUUGGGUUUAAAGGGUGCGUAGGCGGAUUUGUAAGUCAGCGGUAAAAAUGCGGUGCUCAACGCCGUAUCGCCGUUGAAACUGCAGGUCUUGAGUGAGCGAGAAGUAUGCGGAAUGCGUGGUGUAGCGGUGAAAUGCAUAGAUAUCACGCAGAACCCCGAUUGCGAAGGCAGCAUGCCGGCGUCCGACUGACGCUCAUGCACGAAAGCGUGGGUAUCGAACAGGAUUAGAUACCCUUGUAUG